This 292-nucleotide ribosomal RNA is filed under the name uncultured prokaryote. RNAcentral describes it as "partial 16S ribosomal RNA". It matches the Rfam family "Bacterial small subunit ribosomal RNA", at positions 505 to 796 of the family's 1533-position model. The record is from RNAcentral.
GUGUCAGCCGCCGCGGUAAUACGGAGGGUGCGAGCGUUAAUCGGAAUUACUGGGCGUAAAGUGAGCGCAGGCGGUUAUGUAUGUCGGAUGUGAAAGCCCCGGGCUCAACCUGGGAAUGGCAUUCGAAACUGCGUAACUAGAAUAUGGUAGAGGAAGACGGAAUUUCACGUGUAGCGGAGAAAUGCGUAGAUAUGUGGAGGAACACCAAUGGCGAAGGCAGUCUUCUGGGCCAAUAUUGACGCUCAGGCUCGAAAGCGUGGGUAGCAAACAGGAUUAGAUACCCCAGUAGUCC